Molecule: non-coding RNA, 318 nt
Organism: Cinara cedri
Lineage: Eukaryota; Metazoa; Arthropoda; Insecta; Hemiptera; Aphididae
Source: the annotation of a GenBank genome assembly
CGAAGUGACCGAAAGCAACCAGAUUGCCCAAAACUGUUCGCUUAGUUGGGAAAUCUAUGUGACGGUCGUCAAACCGUAUUGUUCGCCGACUGUUGACCGAAUGUUUAUUGUAGUGAUAAUACCGAUAAUAGUCGUGUGCUCAUUGUUUUAUUGUUUGAAUAUUUCCACGAUCAUGUUUUAUGACCAAAUAUCGCAGACACCUAUUUCGAUAGUUAGCUAAACUUGGGCACCGGGUCGCUAAAUUGAACGAACGACGAGCAAACAAUUAUAGCAAUCGGAGACGGUAUGUUAUAAAAUCUUGGCAAUAAUUUUGGUGCA